Rattus norvegicus (Norway rat) is the source of this 548-nucleotide long non-coding RNA. RefSeq lists it as uncharacterized. NCBI's taxonomy places the organism in Eukaryota, Metazoa, Chordata, Mammalia, Rodentia, Muridae. The record is from RefSeq and is a predicted model, not a curated record.
CUCCGGGUAGGCCACGCCCACACUCUUCCAGAUAGGCCACGCCUAUACACGGAAGCGAGCAGGAGGCGAGGCCUCAGAAGGAAGGGAGCGAAUUGGAGCUAUGUCACCUGACCGGGUCUUGAAGCUCGUACUAAUGCUGUGCUCUGAACAGUAUGUCAAAGCUCCAAUCGGACUGUCAAUGCUCACAGACCUCACCAGGAACCAACACAAGGCCUCAUGUGGUGCACUACCUCCAGCCUUGUCGUAAGAGCCUGAAAUUAAGCAUUUCACCUGAUAAAGGACACUGACACUACACCUAGUGUCCAUCCCCGAAGAACAGAGAACUGGCCAAUGAAGCCUGAAGCUGAGUAAGGAAGAGUAUUACUGCGGAGUAAAAGUAUCAAAGUGGAGCAGGUGGAGCACACCUGUGAUCCCACCACUUGGGAGGAUCAGGAGUGCAACGUCAUGCUUAACUACACAGAAAGUUCAAGACCAUCCAGAGCUACAUGAGACUAUCUAAAAAAUGCCAAAACCAAAAGUAAACAAAAAACAGUAGCAAUAGAAAUAAA